RNAcentral lists this ribosomal RNA (549 nucleotides) under uncultured fungus. Its description in RNAcentral is "eukaryotic LSU rRNA". It matches the Rfam family "Eukaryotic large subunit ribosomal RNA", at positions 1 to 553 of the family's 3401-position model. Lineage: Eukaryota; Fungi. The record is from RNAcentral.
GACCUCGGAUCAGGUAGGGAUACCCGCUGAACUUAAGCAUAUCAAUAAGCGGAGGAAAAGAAACCAACCGGGAUUGCCUCAGUAACGGCGAGUGAAGCGGCAAGAGCUCAAAUUUGAAAUCUGGCCCCUCCCCGGGGUCCGAGUUGUAAUUUGGAGAGGAUGCUUCGGGCGCGGCCCCGGUCCAAGUGCCCUGGGACGGGCCGUCGGAGAGGGUGAGAAUCCCGUCUGCGACCGGUGGCCGGGCCUGGGUGAAGCUCCCUCGACGAGUCGAGUUGUUUGGGAAUGCAGCUCUAAAUGGGUGGUAAAUUUCAUCUAAAGCUAAAUAUGGGCCGGAGACCGAUAGCGCACAAGUAGAGUGAUCGAAAGAUGAAAAGCACUUUGGAAAGAGAGUCAAACAGCACGUGAAAUUGUUGAAAGGGAAGCGCUUGCGAUCAGACUCGCCCGGGGAGGUUCAGCCGGCACUUGUGCCGGUGCAUUCCUGCCCGGGCGGGCCAGCGUCGGUUUGGACGGCCCGUCAAAGGCUCCCGGAAGGUAGCNCCCCGCUCGGGG